Long non-coding RNA from Herpailurus yagouaroundi (jaguarundi), 2001 nucleotides. RefSeq lists it as uncharacterized. NCBI's taxonomy places the organism in Eukaryota, Metazoa, Chordata, Mammalia, Carnivora, Felidae. The transcript has 2 exons. The record is from RefSeq and is a predicted model, not a curated record.
AAACUUGACAUUUCUGUCAAGUUAGGCUUAACUAAAUUGUUGAUGUGUCUAUGUAAAUACUCUGAUUCAAGAUAAAGUCUCAGAAGGGAAAUAGGAUUUAUACACUGGGCCUGAUCUCCCCCAGGAAGUAGGGUAUAAGUUAUUUAUCAUCCGGGCACAAUGGUUUUUAGGCCACUCUUCUCUAUGUUUGGUUAGAACCUUAAGCGUUGGCCAAGUUGAACCACCAGAAAGGUUCAUUUUUAUGUGGGGGCAAACAUGGUUUAAUUUAGGACUUUCAUAAUAAACCAAGCCAGUAUGGUAAUACUACUUAACACAUCUGAUCUGACUUUUUCAGUGCCUACUGAUAAAUAAAGAAGACCAGGAAGCCUAGCAAAUUGAGAAUCAGGCGAAUUGGUUUCUAGAACCGAGUGAUCAGUAGCCAGCAGUAUGACCUUGCUGUCUACAAGGCUCUUGUCCAUAAAAGAGGAUUAAGCAUUUCUGAUUCAGGUAUUACUGAGUUACAAAAGAGGAAAACUUCAGAGGCUAGCUGAAAUAAAAGGUUCACUGCAAGGGUAUGGCGGGGAAUCUCAUUAAGGGCAGGAAACAAAGUUUAACCAGCCUACAUGACCCUGGAACUGAAAAGUUCUCUCAGCCUCUCUGGGGUUCUCAAGGUCCCUUGAGAUUCCCUGGGGUUCUCAAGGUCCCUUAUCGCCACUUCUCAUGGCGUGCUCCCAAGAGCGUGCUCCCAAGUACUGUCCCUCUCUGCAGCCCUGUUCUCUGUGCUAACUUGGGGUUUCUCUGGUGCCUUGCAGCUUUUGAUCUACCUUGAGGCCUGGCUCCCUGCUGUUACUUUCUCUGAUCUUUCCGGAGGACUCACCUAUCUUCAUCUUACAGAUUCAGGCUCAGUGUUCACUUGGUUCAAGAGGAUGUGAGGGGUGAGGGAGUGAGUGGCCACAUGGUACAAACAGCAUCCGGAGCCGUGGGUGGAGUCCAUCUCCAACAAUGGGGUGAGAGGCCGUGAUUGGCCAGUCUAGCAAACUUCUGUCUUCACAGGGUUUUUGGGUUGUAAGUUCUAUAAUUCUGUAACCUUUUUUGUUUCUGUUACAGUUACUGAGUUGAGACAGCAUGCCUCUAAAGGUACUUGGAUCAUCUUUCCUAAGGGAGCCUUGUAAAUUCCUGCCCGACAGCAACUAGGUGUUUUUCAAGGAUUGCGAGCCACUUUGGGCUUGUUGGAAGUGCAGUUCAGGCUACCGGCCACCGAGGGCGCUGUUUGUUUUGUCACUGGUUAUUAAGUUUCCAUUUUUCUGCGCAUAAAUUUCUCAUCAUAACUACGUUAUAGGGUUUAGAAAUACUUGGAUGAAAAUCAAAAUAUAUAGGAGCAUUAAAAGACAUCUGAAAUAUACUUUAGAAAUAAUGUCUGCAGUUAAGAUAUAUUUUAACAUUUUCCAAAUUUUCAACUUUAUUAAUUGCCAACAAAGCAGGGACUAGAUCCACUGUGAAGAGAGGAAGAUACAUGUGUCUCAGGACUACUUUGGUCCUUUUAGAAUUACAGUUAGUCCAGGAUAAUUUUAAAUUGAGGAUUCAUACAUAUACUGAUCUCUAAUCUUAUUUUACCAUUGUUGGGAAAUUAAACUACUUUGUAAGAAGGGGAGCCCAAAGCUGUCUUGAAGGAUCCAGCAUAUUGGAAACCUUUGAUUUUCUGCCUUUGAGAGGCCUCCAUGCGAUGGGGAAUGACAAGUUGCCUGGAGUACGGUAAACUCCUGGAGACCACCCCCCCCACACACACACACACCAUUUAUAUACUCUGUCCCUAAGAACUGGUAAAGAUGAACAAAAUAGUGUAACACAACCUAUCCUUGAAUGGGAAGUUACCUGCUAGACAUGGUCCAGUCAUUUCGCUUCCCAAUAUCAUCAUGUGUUCAUGAAGGUUACAAAAACCAAGAAAUUUUAAUUUCAUUAUAAUUAGAUAUAUGGAUAAUUGUUUUCUCAAAAAAUGCUAAAAUAAACUGAGUUUCAAAGAAA